Molecule: ribosomal RNA, 467 nt
Filed under: uncultured bacterium
Lineage: Bacteria
Description: partial 16S ribosomal RNA
Rfam family: Bacterial small subunit ribosomal RNA
Source: RNAcentral
ACGAACGCUGGCGGCGUGCUUAACACAUGCAAGUCGAACGGAAAGGCCCUGCUUUUGUGGGGUGCUCGAGUGGCGAACGGGUGAGUAACACGUGAGUAACCUGCCCUUGACUUUGGGAUAACUUCAGGAAACUGGGGCUAAUACCGGAUAGGAGCUCCUGCUGCAUGGUGGGGGUUGGAAAGUUUCGGCGGUUGGGGAUGGACUCGCGGCUUAUCAGCUUGUUGGUGGGGUAGUGGCUUACCAAGGCUUUGACGGGUAGCCGGCCUGAGAGGGUGACCGGCCACAUUGGGACUGAGAUACGGCCAAUACUCCUACGGGAGGCAGCAGUGGGGAAUAUUGCACAAUGGGCGGAAGCCUGAUGCAGCAACGCCGCGUGCGGGAUGACGGCCUUCGGGUUGUAAACCGCUUUCGCCUGUGACGAAGCGUGAGUGACGGUAAUGGGUAAAGAAGCAACGGCUAACUACGUG